UGCCGGACCCGACUGCUAUCGGAUUGAGAUUUAGCCAUGCGAGUCGAACGUCCUCCUGUGNCGGGGGGCGUGGCGUACGGCUCAGUAACACGUAGUCAACCUGCCCUGGAGACACGGACAACCCCGGGAAACUGGGAUUAAUCCGUGAUAGGUCACCUCAUCUGGAAGGAGAGAUGGCUCAAAGGGGUCCAUGAGCUUCUUUCGUGGAUUCGCUCCAGGAUGGGACUGCGUCCGAUCAGGCUGUUGGCGGGGUAAUGGCCCACCAAACCUGUAACCGGUACGGGCCUUGAGAGAGGGGGCCCGGAGAUGGACACUGAGAGAAGGGUCCAGGUCCUACGGGGCGCAGCAGGCGCGAAACCUUCGCAAUGCGCGAAAGCCCCACCCGGUAAUCCGAGUGGUCCCCGCUGAGGGGAUCUUUUGUCAGCUGUAAAUUGUGUAACAGCAGCGCCC
RNAcentral lists this ribosomal RNA (450 nucleotides) under uncultured archaeon. RNAcentral describes it as "bacterial SSU rRNA". It matches the Rfam family "Archaeal small subunit ribosomal RNA", at positions 15 to 444 of the family's 1478-position model. The record is from RNAcentral.